This 334-nucleotide ribosomal RNA is filed under the name Blastocystis sp. subtype 1. Its description in RNAcentral is "SSU rRNA". It matches the Rfam family "Eukaryotic small subunit ribosomal RNA", at positions 18 to 369 of the family's 1831-position model. The record is from RNAcentral. Lineage: Eukaryota; Bigyra; Opalinata; Blastocystidae.
UAGUAGUCAUACGCUCGUCUCAAAGAAGAAGCCACCCAUGAGUAAGUGUAAAUAGUUAAGUUUGGAACUGCGAAGGGCUCAUCAUAUCAGUUAUAGUUUAUUUGGUGAAGUGUAAUACUUGGAUAACCGUAGUAAUUCUAGGGCUAAUACAUGAGAAAGUCCUCUGGUGAGGUGUGUUUAUUAGAAUGAAAACCAUAUGCUUCGGCAUGAUAGUGAGUAAUAGUAACCUAUCGUAUCGCAUGCUUAAUGUAGCGAUGAGUCUUUCAAGUUUCUGCCCUAUCAGCUUUCGAUGGUAUAUUGUGGUCCUACCAUGGUAGUAGCGGGUAACGAAUAA